UGUGCCAGAGAGAUUCCAGCCUGAAGUCUCAACUGAGAAGCCCCGUCCUGCUUGGAUGGUGCAGGUAUGCGGGCCUGUUGGAGAACAGGUCUUCAUACCCUAACUGCGGAAACCGGUCGAGGCCCGGAAGGGAGCAGACUCACUGUGGGCAACUGUCGCUUGCGGGGCCGCGGGGUGGAGGAGAGGCUCCAGUCUCCUGGUAUCUCUAAGACACAGCAACCUUAGGCGUGCUCAUCA
RNAcentral lists this signal recognition particle RNA (237 nucleotides) under Methanosarcina sp. RNAcentral's name for it is "partial signal recognition particle sRNA". It matches the Rfam family "Archaeal signal recognition particle RNA", at positions 79 to 317 of the family's 317-position model. Lineage: Archaea; Methanobacteriati; Methanobacteriota; Methanomicrobia; Methanosarcinales; Methanosarcinaceae. The record is from RNAcentral.